This is a long non-coding RNA of Oncorhynchus tshawytscha (Chinook salmon), 319 nucleotides long. The record is from Ensembl. Lineage: Eukaryota; Metazoa; Chordata; Actinopteri; Salmoniformes; Salmonidae.
GUGCAGCGUGAGGUAAUACAGUAGGGGGAGGUGCAGCGUGAGGUAAUACAGUAGGGGAGGUGCAGCGUGAGGUAAUACAGUAGGGGGAGGUGCAGCGUGAGGUAAUAUAGUAGGGAAGGUGCAGCGUGAGGUAAUACAGUAGGAGGAGGAGCAGCAUGAGGUAAUACAGUAGGGGGAGGUGCAGCGUGAGGUAAUACAGUAGGGGAGGUGCAGCAUGAUGUAAUGCAGUAGGGGGAGGUGCAGCGUGAUGUAAUGCAGUAGGGGGAGGUGCAGCGUGAGGUAAUACAGUAGGAGGAGGUGCAGCCUGAGGUAAUACAGU